This 73-nucleotide transfer RNA is filed under the name Candidatus Methanoperedentaceae archaeon. RNAcentral describes it as "Candidatus Methanoperedenaceae archaeon tRNA-Gln". It matches the Rfam family "tRNA". From Rfam's summary of the family: Transfer RNA (tRNA) molecules are approximately 80 nucleotides in length. Their secondary structure includes four short double-helical elements and three loops (D, anti-codon, and T loops). Further hydrogen bonds mediate the characteristic L-shaped molecular structure. tRNAs have two regions of fundamental functional importance: the anti-codon, which is responsible for specific mRNA codon recognition, and the 3' end, to which the tRNAs corresponding amino acid is attached (by aminoacyl-tRNA synthetases). tRNAs cope with the degeneracy of the genetic code in two manners: having more than one tRNA (with a specific anti-codon) for a particular amino acid; and 'wobble' base-pairing, i.e. permitting non-standard base-pairing at the 3rd anti-codon position. Lineage: Archaea; Methanobacteriati; Methanobacteriota; Methanomicrobia; Methanosarcinales; Candidatus Methanoperedentaceae. The record is from RNAcentral.
AGUCCCGUAGGGUAGUGGUCAAUCCUGCUGGCUUUUGGAGCCGGCGACGGCGGUUCGAAUCCGUCCGGGACUA